This 274-nucleotide ribosomal RNA is filed under the name uncultured bacterium. Its description in RNAcentral is "partial 16S ribosomal RNA". It matches the Rfam family "Bacterial small subunit ribosomal RNA", at positions 523 to 796 of the family's 1533-position model. The record is from RNAcentral.
CUACGGAGGGUGCGAGCGUUAUCCGGAUUUAUUGGGUUUAAAGGGUGCGUAGGCGGAAUAUUAAGUCAGUGGUGAAAUCCUGCGGCUCAACCGUAGAACUGCCAUUGAUACUGAUAUUCUUGAAUGUAGUUGAGGUAGGCGGAAUGUGUAAUGUAGCGGUGAAAUGCUUAGAUAUUACACAGAACACCGAUUGCGAAGGCAGCUUACUAAACUAUGAUUGACGCUGAUGCACGAAAGCGUGGGGAGCGAACAGGAUUAGAAACCCCGGUAGUCC